Bos indicus x Bos taurus (hybrid cattle) is the source of this 1627-nucleotide long non-coding RNA. The record is from Ensembl. NCBI's taxonomy places the organism in Eukaryota, Metazoa, Chordata, Mammalia, Artiodactyla, Bovidae.
GCCCAACAGUGGUAUACAAAAGUCUCGUGGUCUCAAAAGUCUCCUUUCUCUUUAUUUGUUUUCCCUACACAAAAUAUCACUUUUUUCUUUUCCAAACAACUCUGGUUUGGCAAAAUUUAAUUGCCUGUUUGGGAUGAGGUCCCUGAAGCUCUCACAAGUUAAUUAUUUCUUUCUGGACCAGAAACUUUGAACUGUACUCGUGAGAUAAAUGGUCUGGUAACACUUUGCAACUUCAAGGUAUUUAAGUUACUGAGCAGCUCAUCAACUUUCUCCUUGCACUUGGAAUGGACUCUGGAAGAGAACUGGACCCCAGACAUCAUGAGUAGGCUGAGAAAGUAGGAUCUAUAGAUUUAGUUCAGAGCAAAGUAUAUUCCCAGAGAUAGAACCUCUGGUGAUGGCUUCCAGGUUUCCAGGCAUUUGGGAGUUUGAGAAGCUGGAAAGGCUUUUGAAAUCUCAUCAGGAGAGUUUUCAGGAAGAUUGUCAGCGUUCCAAACCUGACAACUGUUAGAAAAUUGAUAUUUUCGGCAGUCUCAUUCUGCUCCAUCUACUGGUACUUGAGAGGAACCUCCAAUGGUUCCAUAUACAUGCAAGACAACUGGCAGCUGGAGUAAUUAUUGCCUUGAUCCUGAGAGGGGAAAGAUUGAAGGCAGGAGGAGAAGGGGACAACAGAGGAAUAGAUGGUUGGAUAGCAUCACUGACUCGAUGGACAUGAGUCUGAGCAAGCUCGGGGAGCUGGUGAUGGACAGAGAAGCCUGGUGUGCUGCAGUCCAUGGGGUUGCAGAGUCAGACAUGACUGAGUGAACUGAACUGAGAGGGGAAAUAAGGUAUAUGGCAGCACAUUACAGUAUACAUGUAUUAAUAGAAUGACCUGGUUUAUUCCACCUUAAACACCCUUUCCCCCAAUCUUCAUUCACGUCCAAUCCCUCUAGCAUCAUACUCUGUUCUAAUUCCUCAUUAUUUAGUUCUGAGCACUUCCACAUCAAAUCUCAGAUAUUCUUGAUUAAUUAGGAAAUAUGGAGACGGUGUUGACCUCAUUAUGCUCAGAAACCUCAGUAGCAUAGAUAGAAUACCUCAAGCUAACCUAAGUUACUCAAGAUGGGUGUCUACCGAGGCGCUACCCCUAGAAGUUCUCCAUAUGAGUUUGGUGUGAAUCUAGUAAUCCAUGUCCACAGGAGCCAGAAUGUUUAGGUUGUAGAGUUCUCAGACUUGCCCGGAUUCAAUGAGGUGCUUACCCACAGCACCCUAAAACAAAGCACUGAAGAAGAGUUUAAACUAUCUCCAAUGAAGGAAGUUGGAGGUCAGAGCCAGAAAAGGAGCACCCAUCAAGUCUGAGGGAUAAGGCAAGGUCUUAAACAUUAAAAAACAACAACAACAACAAAAACACAAGGCAAUAUUUUCUUACAUUAAUCUGUCUAGGUAGCCAGCCGGCCACCUAUACCAUUGGGAAAUUCUCUACAUUAAAUGUGUACUUUUCAUUUAGAAUUUGUACACAGAAUAGCAUAAGGAAGUGGUGGUCCAAAGAGCAGGGCACUUAACCAGGAAUCUAGAGAAAAAAUGUCUAAAGAAACUCAACUCUGUCACUUACUCAUAUCACAUACAAUAAAUCACUUAACCUAACUGAGACUCA